UGAGGAAUAUUGGUCAAUGGGCGGGAGCCUGAACCAGCCAAGCCGCGUGAGGGAGGAAGGCCCUAUGGGUCGUAAACCUCUUUUGUCAGGGAACAAAAGCGAGUAUGUAUACUAGUCUGAGUGUACCUGAAGAAAAAGCAUCGGCUAGCUCCGUGCCAGCAGCCGCGGUAAUACGGAGGAUGCGAGCGUUAUCCGGAUUUAUUGGGUUUAAAGGGUGCGUAGGCGGCGGUGCAAGUCAGCGGUAAAAGCCCGGGGGCUCAACCCCGGCGAGCCGUUGAAACUGCAGUGCUAGAGAAGGCGAGAGGUACGCGGAAUGCGCAGUGUAGCGGUGAAAUGCUUAGAUAUUGCGCAGAACUCCGAUUGCGAAGGCAGCGUACUGGCGCCUGACUGACGCUGAGGCACGAAAGCGUGGGGAUCGAACAGGAUUAGAUACC
This 434-nucleotide ribosomal RNA is filed under the name uncultured bacterium. RNAcentral describes it as "bacterial SSU rRNA". It matches the Rfam family "Bacterial small subunit ribosomal RNA", at positions 355 to 786 of the family's 1533-position model. The record is from RNAcentral.